This is a long non-coding RNA of Mus musculus (house mouse), 842 nucleotides long. RefSeq annotates it as predicted gene, 36844. The transcript has 3 exons. The record is from RefSeq and is a predicted model, not a curated record. Lineage: Eukaryota; Metazoa; Chordata; Mammalia; Rodentia; Muridae.
GAAUCCGCCAAGGGGAGCAAUGGAACAGGUCUUCGCCUAAAGAGCUGGCUGUCUAGUCUCCUGCAGGAGGCCUCACAGCGCUCCCAGCCAUGGCUUCCACCAAGCUAAGCUGCCUGCUGAGCAAGCCAAUGAUUCUAUCCCUGCAGGACCCAGCCAGAACUCUCCCCUUUUUUCCCCUUUGGCCCCAGGCUAGAUCCAGCCUAGGGCUGCCACUCUUCUCAUCUCUUCCGUAGCUCCCAGCAGCUCCUGGGUACCCAAGAGCCUGAGAACCUGAUGUCCCCUACUUCCGUGCAGGUCUGGGGACCCCUGAGCCAGCUCCGACGUCCCUGGGACCUCAGACUGUACUCCCCAGCUCCCACCCCUGGAGCGGGGUCCUGUGGCUUCCCAUAGCCUGAUGCCCGCCUGGCACUGGCCUCUGGGGUCUGGCUUCCUGCCUCCCAGCAGCACACACUUCCAGUCCAAUAACCAGACACCAGAGCCCAAGGUCCACAAUGCUCUCUGUGACCUCAGCAAAAGCUAGGACCAGGCCUAUUUCAAAGCAGAACUGCUUGCUGGGAGGAUGGGAGAUGGGGUUGGCUGGACCUGGUUGGUCAGGCGUCUGGUGUGGAGCUAAGGCGUCCAACCACAUCGACUCCUCCACGUCUGGCUUCAUUCCAGGUCCUGCUCGCUGCAGCUAGAACAGUUGCCCUUCUUGUCUGCUACGGAGUGAAAAACAGGAAUGUUGUGGAUUAAAUUCAAGAUGCCCUAUAUCACCAAUCACCAGUCAGUCCCUGUGAUGGUUUGUAUAUCCUUGGACCAGGGAGUGGCACCAUCUGAAGGUAUGGCCUUGUUGGAAUAGGUGU